GAUGAACGCUGGCGGCGUGCUUAACACAUGCAAGUCGAACGGAAAGGCCCAAGCUUGCUUGGGUACUCGAGUGGCGAACGGGUGAGUAACACGUGGGUGAUCUGCCCUGCACUUCGGUAUAAGCCUGGGAAACUGGGUCUAAUACUGGAUAGGACCACUUCUUGGAUGGUGUGGUGGAAAGUUUUUUCGGUGUGGGAUGAGCUCGCGGCCUAUCAGCUUGUUGGUUGGGUAAUGGCCUACCAAGGCGUCGACGGGUAGCCGGCCUGAGAGGGUGUACGGCGACAUUGGGACUGAGAUACGGCCCAGACUCCUAAGGGAGGCAGCAGUGGGGAAUAUUGAACAAUGGGCGCAAGCCUGAUGCAGCGACGACGCGUGGGGGAUGACGGACUUCGGGUUGUAAACUCCUAUCGCUAGGGACGAAGCGUUUUUGUGACGGUACCUGGAGAAGAAGCACCGGCUAACUACGUG
This 468-nucleotide ribosomal RNA is filed under the name uncultured bacterium. Its description in RNAcentral is "partial 16S ribosomal RNA". It matches the Rfam family "Bacterial small subunit ribosomal RNA", at positions 28 to 507 of the family's 1533-position model. The record is from RNAcentral.